UGGGUAACCUGCCCUAAAGUGGGGGAUAACAUUUGGAAACAGAUGCUAAUACCGCAUAAAACCUAGCACCGCAUGGUGCAAGGUUGAAAGAUGGUUUCGGCUAUCACUUUAGGAUGGACCCGCGGUGCAUUAGUUAGUUGGUGAGGUAAAGGCUCACCAAGACCGUGAUGCAUAGCCGACCUGAGAGGGUAAUCGGCCACACUGGGACUGAGACACGGCCCAGACUCCUACGGGAGGCAGCAGUAGGGAAUCUUCCACAAUGGACGAAAGUCUGAUGGAGCAACGCCGCGUGAGUGAAGAAGGUUUUCGGAUCGUAAAACUCUGUUGUUGGAGAAGAACGUAUUUGAUAGUAACUGAUCAGGUAGUGACGGUAUCCAACCAGAAAGCCACGGCUAACUACGUGCCAGCAGCCGCGGUAAUACGUAGGUGGCAAGCGUUGUCCGGAUUUAUUGGGCGUAAAGCGAGCGCAGGCGGUUUCUUAAGUCUGAUGUGAAAGCCUUCGGCUCAACCGAAGAAGUGCAUCGGAAACUGGGAAACUUGAGUGCAGAAGAGGACAGUGGAACUCCAUGUGUAGCGGUGAAAUGCGUAGAUAUAUGGAAGAACACCAGUGGCGAAGGCGGCUGUCUGGUCUGUAACUGACGCUGAGGCUCGAAAGCAUGGGUAGCAAACAGGAUUAGAUACCCUGGUAGUCCAUGCCGUAAACGAUGAGUGCUAGGUGUUGGAGGGUUUCCGCCCUUCAGUGCCGCAGCUAACGCAUUAAGCACUCCGCCUGGGGAGUACGACCGCAAGGUUGAAACUCAAAGGAAUUGACGGGGGCCCGCACAAGCGGUGGAGCAUGUGGUUUAAUUCGAAGCAACGCGAAGAACCUUACCAGGUCUUGACAUCCUUUGACCACUCUAGAGAUAGAGCUUUCCCUUCGGGGACAAAGUGACAGGUGGUGCAUGGUUGUCGUCAGCUCGUGUCGUGAGAUGUUGGGUUAAGUCCCGCAACGAGCGCAACCCUUAUUACUAGUUGCCAGCAUUUAGUUGGGCACUCUAGUGAGACUGCCGGUGACAAACCGGAGGAAGGUGGGGACGACGUCAAAU
Molecule: ribosomal RNA, 1085 nt
Filed under: Latilactobacillus curvatus
Lineage: Bacteria; Bacillati; Bacillota; Bacilli; Lactobacillales; Lactobacillaceae
Description: bacterial SSU rRNA
Rfam family: Bacterial small subunit ribosomal RNA
Source: RNAcentral